This 442-nucleotide ribosomal RNA is filed under the name uncultured bacterium. RNAcentral describes it as "partial 16S ribosomal RNA". It matches the Rfam family "Bacterial small subunit ribosomal RNA", at positions 338 to 795 of the family's 1533-position model. The record is from RNAcentral.
CCUACGGGUGGCAGCAGUGGGGAAUAUUGGGCAAUGGGCGCAAGCCUGACCCAGCAACGCCGCGUGAAGGAAGAAGGCUUUCGGGUUGUAAACUUCUUUUGACAGGGAAGAGUAGAAGACGGUACCUGUCGAAUAAGCCACGGCUAACUACGUGCCAGCAGCCGCGGGAAUACGUAGGUGGCAAGCGGUGUCCGGAUUUACUGGGUGUAAAGGGCGUGUAGCCGGGUUGACAAGUCAGAUGUGAAAUCCUGCGGGUUAACCGCAGAACUGCAUUUGAAACUGUUGAUCUUGAGUACUGGAGAGGCAGACGGAAUGCCUAGUGUAGCGGUGAAAUGCAUAGAUAUUAGGAGGAACACCAGUGGCGAAGGCAGUCUGCUGGACAGCAACUGACGGUGAGGCGCGAAAGCGUGGGGAGCAAACAGGAUUAGAUACCCGAGUAGUC